GACGAACGCUGGCGGCGUGCUUAACACAUGCAAGUCGAACGCUGAAGACCUGGCUUUUGUUGGGUUGGAUGAGUGGCGAACGGGUGAGUAACACGUGAGUAACCUGCCCUCUUCUUUGGGAUAACGCCCGGAAACGGGUGCUAAUACUGGAUAUUCACUGGCCUUCGCAUGGGGGUUGGUGGAAAGGUUUGUUCUGGUGGGGGAUGGGCUCGCGGCCUAUCAGCUUGUUGGUGGGGUGAUGGCCUACCAAGGCUUUGACGGGUAGCCGGCCUGAGAGGGUGACCGGUCACAUUGGGACUGAGAUACGGCCCAGACUCCUACGGGAGGCAGCAGUGGGGAAUAUUACACAAUGGGCGAAAGCCUGAUGCAGCGACGCCGCGUGAGGGAUGGAGGCCUUCGGGUUGUAAACCUCUUUCGCUCAUGGUCAAGCCGCAACUGUGGGUUGUGGUGAGGGUAGUGGGUAAAGAAGCGCCGGCUAACUACGUG
This 486-nucleotide ribosomal RNA is filed under the name uncultured bacterium. RNAcentral's name for it is "partial 16S ribosomal RNA". It matches the Rfam family "Bacterial small subunit ribosomal RNA", at positions 28 to 507 of the family's 1533-position model. The record is from RNAcentral.